AAGUCGUAACAAGGUUUCCGUAGGUGAACCUGCGGAAGGAUCAUUAAUGAAAUUAUGACUGGGGUUGUAGCUGGCCUAUAAAACGGCAUGUGCACGCUCCUUUCACAAUCCACACACACCUGUGCACCUUCGCGGGGGUCUUUUUUUCUCUUCGGGGGAAUAAAGGCUCGCGUCCCUUUACACACCCUUUGUAUGUAUUAAGAAUGUCUACUCGAUGUAAUAAAACGCAUCUAAUACAACUUUCAACAACGGAUCUCUUGGCUCUC
This 266-nucleotide unclassified non-coding RNA is filed under the name Stereum ostrea. RNAcentral describes it as "partial internal transcribed spacer region". The stretch from base 1 to 46 matches the Rfam family "Eukaryotic small subunit ribosomal RNA", at positions 1786 to 1831 of the family's 1831-position model. Lineage: Eukaryota; Fungi; Basidiomycota; Agaricomycetes; Russulales; Stereaceae. The record is from RNAcentral.